GUAGGGAAUUUUGCGCAAUGGGCGAAAGCCUGACGCAGCAACGCCGCGUGAGGGAUGAAGGGCUUCGGCUCGUAAACCUCUGUUGAUUGGGAAGAAACGUCGGGGGACGAAUAGUCUCUCGGCCUGACGGUACUAGUCGAGGAAGCCCCGGCUAACUACGUGCCAGCAGCCGCGGUAAUACGUAGGGGGCAAGCGUUGUUCGGAAUUACUGGGCGUAAAGGGAGUGUAGGCGGGAGUGCAAGUCAGAAGUGUAAUCUACAGGCUUAACCUGUAGUUUGCUUUUGAGACUGCAUUUCUUGAGUAGUGGAGAGGGAGACGGAAUUCCAGGUGUAGCGGUGGAAUGCGUAGAGAUCUGGAAGAACACCAGUAGCGAAGGCGGUCUCCUGGCCACAUACUGACGCUGAGGCUCGAAAGCUAGGGGAGCAAACAGGAUUAGAAACCCUAGUAGUCC
RNAcentral lists this ribosomal RNA (451 nucleotides) under uncultured bacterium. RNAcentral's name for it is "bacterial SSU rRNA". It matches the Rfam family "Bacterial small subunit ribosomal RNA", at positions 354 to 796 of the family's 1533-position model. The record is from RNAcentral.